Small nucleolar RNA from Mastomys coucha (southern multimammate mouse), 136 nucleotides. RefSeq annotates it as small nucleolar RNA SNORA17. Lineage: Eukaryota; Metazoa; Chordata; Mammalia; Rodentia; Muridae. The record is from RefSeq and is a predicted model, not a curated record. The transcript has a single exon.
UCUGCCUGCUGAUAGGAGCAUUGCAGGUGUGGCUGCUCUGUCACAUAUGCUUCAAGAGGUGGCAGGGAGGAGGGAGGCUGUGUCUAUGCUCAGUGUUCUGACCUGUGAACAUCUGAAUGAUUAGUAGUCUCACAUU